Notolabrus celidotus (New Zealand spotty) is the source of this 1629-nucleotide long non-coding RNA. RefSeq lists it as uncharacterized. The record is from RefSeq and is a predicted model, not a curated record. The transcript has 5 exons. Lineage: Eukaryota; Metazoa; Chordata; Actinopteri; Labriformes; Labridae.
UCAGAUAAACAGCUCGAUUGCGCACAGAGCGCAUGUUGGAGAAGAUCCGAUAUUACCACACCCAGGGACACUUGUGUACUAGAGAAAAAAACAUGUUAAGACAAAAUAUACAUUUCAAACGCUACAAAGCAAAGCCAAAUAUGGCUGAAAUAAUGUUUUAUUUUCAUUUAUUUAUUAUUAGUUGAAGUAAUGUCGGCAGAUUCUUUUUAAUUUUUGGAACAACGUCAUCACGUGUACGUGCAAACGCUUGUGGGUAAAUGUAUUCUGCGCGGUCAUCACGUUCACCAUGUUGAGAGAACGUGAAGGAGUGGUGUGUCUGUGUGUCUGUGUGUGUGUCUUUGCAGGUCUGGGUCGUCAAGGGGAUGGGCUGCACCUGGGGCAGGCGGUAUAAAGAGCUCUCCCAGCCGGCGUGGGUCUCUCUGGUCGGGCACCCCUCUGCUCUCACCCCGUGAGAGCGCGAUUGCGGAAUAUACAGUUCCUACCACUAAAAAGGAACUUCAGCGUUUUCUUGGCCUUGUUGGGUACUAUCGCAGUUUUUGUAAGAACUUUUCCACAGUGGUAGCUCCCCUGACUAACUUGCUUAAGGGAAAAGUUAAGUUUGUGUGGUCAGCCUCGUGUCAGCAGGCUUUUGUCAGUGUGAAGGAUGUGUUGUGUUCCCCUCCUGUUCUUGCAGCUCCACGCAUUGAUCAGCCGUUCAGCCUGCAUGUGGAUGCAAGUGAUGUGGGGACAGGAGCGGUGCUGUUCCAGACUGACCAAGGUGGUAUUGAUCGUCCCGUGAGUUUUUUCUCUAAGAAGUUUAAUCGGUUUCAGUUGAACUACUCUGUAAUUGAGAGGGAAACCCUGGCGCUGAUCUGGGCUCUGCAGCAUUUCGAUGUUUACGUAGGCUCUAGUGUUCCUCUGGUUGUGUACACGGACCACAACCCCAUAACUUUCUUGCACUCCGUCCAUUGCCCUAAUCGCAGGUUGAUGCGAUGGAUGUUGUACUUGCAGUCCUAUUGUUUGGACAUCCGCCACAUCAAAGGCUCAGAGAAUGUUGUGGCUGAUGCCUUGUCCAGGGUUCCUGGCUUCUAGGGUAUGUAUUGGCCCGACUGGGUUGUUUGACCCCUGUGAUCGUCUGUCUCUUCUCUGUGUUUUUGCGUGCUUCUUCAGGUGCCGGCGUUGCUGUGUGCAGGCAUGGUCGGUGUUGAUGUUGGGUCAGCUGCAAGUGUGGUUGUGGUGUUUUCAGUGGUUGUUUGUGUUGGUUGGCUGCUGUUGCGUCCUAUGAGCCGGGACCUAACAGAAAAUGGCACAACAAUCGCCUGAGAAAGUUCUGACCCUGAGGAGGCAGAGCUGAGGAGAAACUGCCAGUUAUUCUGUUACCAGUGCUUGGAUGAGGCCAUUCCAAGGCCUGUUUUAUAUGAGAAGGCCUUGGAAUGGUCUCAGCAGGCAGUCGCGGACCUGCUGAGAGCCCGCAGGCAGAGGAGGGCAGCAGAGGCCAAAAUCAUUGAGAGGGAGCUCCUCGUAUCAAAACUGAAGAGGGACCUGGCCUCCUCUCAGGAACAAAUAGAGAACCUGACGGCCAAUUUAGCCAUGAUGGGAGAUGACUUUGACCUAGAGUCGGAACAGGUGGGGCAGGUGGAGCAGGUGGAG